GGCGUAAAGAGCUCGUAGGCGGUUUGUCACGUCGUCUGUGAAAUCCCUCGGCUUAACCGGGGGCGUGCAGGCGAUACGGGCAGACUUGAGUACUACAGGGGAGACUGGAAUUCCUGGUGUAGCGGUGAAAUGCGCAGAUAUCAGGAGGAACACCGGUGGCGAAGGCGGGUCUCUGGGUAGUAACUGACGCUGAGGAGCGAAAGCAUGGGUAGCGAACAGGAUUAGAUACCCUGGUAGUCCAUGCCGUAAACGGUGGGCGCUAGGUGUGGGGUCCUUCCACGGACUCCGUGCCGUAGCUAACGCAUUAAGCGCCCCGCCUGGGGAGUACGGCCGCAAGGCUAAAACUCAAAGGAAUUGACGGGGGCCCGCACAAGCGGCGGAGCAUGUGGAUUAAUUCGAUGCAACGCGAAGAACCUUACCUAGGCUUGACAUAUACAGGACGACGGCAGAGAUGUCGUUUCCCUUGUGGCUUGUAUACAGGUGGUGCAUGGUUGUCGUCAGCUCGUGUCGUGAGAUGUUGGGUUAAGUCCCGCAACGAGCGCAACCCUGUCUCAUGUUGCCAGCACGUAAUGGUGGGGACUCGUGAGAGACUGCCGGGGUCAACUCGGAGGAAGGUGGGGAUGACGUCAAAUCAUCAUGCCCCUUAUGUCUAGGGCUUCACACAUGCUACAAUGGCUAGUACAGAGGGCUGCGAUACCGCGAGGUGGAGCGAAUCCCUUAAAGCUGGUCUCAGUUCGGAUUGGGGUCUGCAACUCGACCCCAUGAAGUCGGAGUCGCUAGUA
Molecule: ribosomal RNA, 782 nt
Filed under: uncultured bacterium
Lineage: Bacteria
Description: bacterial SSU rRNA
Rfam family: Bacterial small subunit ribosomal RNA
Source: RNAcentral